Molecule: ribosomal RNA, 560 nt
Filed under: uncultured bacterium
Lineage: Bacteria
Description: bacterial SSU rRNA
Rfam family: Bacterial small subunit ribosomal RNA
Source: RNAcentral
CCUACGGGAGGCAGCAGUGAGGAAUAUUCCACAAUGGGGGAACCUGAUGGAGCGAUGCCGCGUGCAGGAAGACGCUUUUCGGAGUGUAAACUGCUUUUAAUAGGGAAGAUUAUGACGGUACCUAUCGAAUAAGGACCGGCUAACUACGUGCCAGCAGCCGCGGUAAUACGUAGGGUCCAAGCGUUAUUCGGAAUUACUGGGCGUAAAGCGUACGUAGGCGGUUUGGUAAGUUGGAUGUGAAAUCCUGUGGCUCAACCACAUGGACUGUGUCCAAAACUACCAAACUUGAGCAUAGUAGAGGCAAGUGGAAUUUGCGGUGUAGGAGUGACAUCCGUAGAUAUCGCAAGGAACACCAAUGGCGAAGGCAGCUUGCUGGGCUAUUGCUGACGCUCAGGUACGAAAGCGUGGGGAGCGAACGGGAUUAGAUACCCCGGUAGUCCACGCCGUAAACGAUGAUCACUAACAGUAUGGAGAUUCGACCCUCUGUGUUGUAAAGCUAACGCGUUAAGUGAUCCGCCUGGGGAGUACGGGCGCAAGCUUAAACUCAAAGGAAUUGACGG